AUAUUUACGAAGUGUCAAUAGGAUAAUAUUAAAGUUUCGUUAAGAAAUUUUAAUGUUUCGAUAGUUAAUUAUGAAAAAGGAUUAAAUUGCAAUAGGGAUAAAAGUUUAAUUAUAGAUUAAAGAAAAGUUAAAAGGACCAAAUAGGCAAUUAUGCCUUUUUCUAAAGUUGAGGCGGCAUAAUGAAAGAAAUAUCUGAGAUAUUCUAGUUAAUAUAUAUAUUAUAUAUAUGUAAGUAAUGAUUAUUAUUAAUAUUUUAUAUUAUAUUAUAUUAUAUAUAUAUAUGACAAAGAAAGAAAGAAAAGAAACAGAGAGCAAAACAAAACAAAACAGAGAAGGGAGAAAGAAAGAAACAGAGAGCAAAACGAAACAGAGAAGGAAGGAAGGAAGGAAAGAAAGAAAGAAAAGAAAAGAAAAAGGGAAAUUUGGGGUUUUAAGGUUCAAAGUAAUUUGGUAAGUCAAUUUAAUCCCCUUUUCUCUUAAUUUUGAUAUUUUUUUUGAAAUCCUAGAACAAAAUACUACUUGAUUUAAGUUGAAAUUUUGGAAGUUAGUAGAUUAUUAAGCAUGGUUCAUGUUGAAUAAAUUGUUAAAUUAGGGAUGUAUUUGAUAGAAAUUUUGAUUGGAAUUGAAUAAAGGAUUGAAUUAUAAACUAAACUAUAAGUUUUAAAUUUUAGGGAUUAAUUUGAAAUAAAUUCGGAAUUAUGAAAACAUGAUAAAAAUUAAAUAGUUAAAUAUGAGUUUAGUAAGAAAUUGGGUAGAAUAAGGGUAUGAAUUGAGAAAGAAAAAUAUAUAGGUUUAGUUAGGGGUUAAAUUGAUUUAAUUUCAAGUUAGAAGUUAGUAAAGAAUGUAAUUGUAAAAUAAAAUAUAAGUUUUGAAUUGAUAGGAAUUAAAUUGAAAGAAUCCCGAAAUUAGGGAUUUAUGGGGAAAUUGAAGAAUUAAACUGAGUUUAUAGUAAGAAUUAAGAGAGAAUAUAGAGUUAGAAUGCAAAAAAUAAAAUUAGUAUUGAUAAGGGAUUAAAUUAGAAUUUGAUGUUGCCAUAGAAGGGAAAAAUGUUCAGAAUGUUAUAAAACAUAAGAAUAAGAGAUGAAGUUUAAUUUCCGAGCCUUGGGGCAAAAAUGUAAUUAUGUAAAAGUUUAGGGGCAAAAUUGUAAUUUUGAAAAAGUUAGAGUCGAGGGCUAUUUUGAUGAAUGUGAUUAUUAAAUAAGUUAAAUUUACUAUUUUAGAUCAAGAAGUACGAAACUCGAGGUUAGACAAAGGGAAGAAUAAAGUUGAAGACUAAGUUGGUGAAUUUGGCUAUAAUUGGUACCGAGGUAAGUUUACGGUAAAUAAAUGCAAUAUUUCAAUAUUUAUUAUUAAUGCUGUUAAUUUCCAGCAAUUAUGAAUUUAUUUUAUGAAUUUAUUUGAUGAUGAUCCAAGCAUGAAAUGAUAGAGAAUUAAAAUUUAAAAGUCCCGUUGAUACAUAAGGAUGGUACUGGAUACGAAUGUCAUGACAUUUGGGUAAAGAGAUCCCAUGUAAGACCAUGUCUGGGACAUGGCAUUGGCAUCCUUAAGAUCAUGAGAGGUCCCCUGUAAGACCAUGUCUGGGACAUGGCAUGGGCACCGAGACGAGAGGUCCCAUGUAAGACCAUGUCUGGGACAUGGCGUUGGCACCGAGAUGAGAGGUCCCCUAUAAGACCAUGUCUGGGACAUGGCAUGGGCACCAUCACGAGAACAUCCCAUGUAAGACCAUGUCUGGGACAUGGCUUUGGCAUGUUAUUAUCAGAAGAGACCCGAGUAUCCUUAUUAUUCCAAUGUAGUUCAACGGGCUUGUAAACGAAUCAUGUUCAUGAAAGUUCAGUUUAAAGCAUAAAUGGCAAGCUCAGGUAAGUUGUAAGACUUAAGAACUUAUUAUACUAUCAAUUGAUGUUCAACGAUGCAGCAAGGAUUGAGUAAGUUAUGCACACAAAUAUUCUAAGUAAACAAGUAAGAGAACUAGUAUGAGAUUAACUAAAGAGUAAACUAGAGAUAUAGACAUUGAGUUUAAUUAUUUAAGUUAAAUAUUGUUAUUUAUUUGCUAGUAAACUUACUAAGCUUUAUGCUUACUUCUUUUAUUUCUCUUUCUCUUAUAGUAUUGCAAAGCUACUUCAAGGAUCCUAAAGAAGUCGGAGAUCGUCCACACUAUCAACUACAACUGCUCGGUAUUUUAUAUCGAAACACGUUUAAGUUAUGGCAUGUAUAGGGAUUUAGUUAUUUUGUAUGUUUGUAGUGAUGAUUUUGCUAAUUAGUGAUGUGUAAGUAUUUGAUGAUGUAUGGUUAUUAAAAUGAUUAAGGAUGAAGGUGUUUGUUGUUAUGAAAGAUUAGGUGAUAAAUUAUGCAUGGAAAUCAUGAAAGGAUAAAAUUUUGCAAAGAAACAGAAUUCAGGCAGCACAGUGACGUGAAUUUGAAAAAUCACCCAAGAUAGUAUAAAAUGAAUUAGAGGGUGAAUGAUAUAUGGAAUUAAAGCUUGUUGAGUCUAUUUUCAUGGAAAAAUAACGGUGUAGAAAAAAGAAAUUUAUAUUUUAAGAUAUGUGAAUUUUAGUAAGAUAGGGUCAGAACUGUUUUUGGAGUCCCCUAUUCUGAGUUUAGAAAAUAAUUACAAAUUGUACAAAAAUGGUUAUGAGUUGAAAUUUACAUGCUUAGAUUCCUUAAUGAGUCUAUUUUCUAUAGAAACAAGUAAGAACUUCAUAUGAAAAUCCUAUAGUGAGAAAACUUAUUUUUAGUGACUAGAGGUCAGGGCAGUCUGGUGGUGACACAGGGGAGACUUUAACUAAUAAACUGUACUAAUUU
This 2802-nucleotide long non-coding RNA is filed under the name Gossypium barbadense (sea-island cotton). Its description in RNAcentral is "long non-coding RNA (GBAR_LNC017810)". The record is from RNAcentral. Lineage: Eukaryota; Viridiplantae; Streptophyta; Magnoliopsida; Malvales; Malvaceae.